UGCAUACACAUGCAAGUCGAACGAUGAAGCAUUCUUCGGAAUGUGGAAGAGUGGCGAACGGGUGAGGAACACGUAAGAAUCUGCCCCUCGGUCGGGGACAACCCUUGGAAACGAGGGCUAAUACCCGAUAUGCUGUGGAGUGAAAGAAUUUCGCUGAGGGAUGAUCUUGCGUCUGAUUAGCUAGUUGGUGUGGUAAUGGCACACCAAGGCGACGAUCAGUAGCUGGUCUGAGAGGAUGAACAGCCACAUUGGAACUGAGACACGGUCCAAACUCCUACGGGAGGCAGCAGUGGGGAAUUUUCCGCAAUGGACGAAAGUCUGACGGAGCGACGCUGCGUGAAGGAUGACGGCCUGCGGGUUGUAAACUUCUUUUCUCGAAGAAGAAGCUCUGACGGUAUUCGAGGAAUAAGCAUCGGCUAACUCCGUGCCAGCAGCCGCGGUAAGACGGAGGAUGCAAGUGUUAUUCGGAAUGAUUGGGCGUAAAGAGUCUGUAGGCUGUAUGGAAAGUCUUUUGUUAAAUGCCUCGGCUCAACCGAGAUCCAGCAAAGGAAACUUCUAUACUUGA
This 565-nucleotide ribosomal RNA is filed under the name uncultured bacterium. RNAcentral's name for it is "bacterial SSU rRNA". It matches the Rfam family "Bacterial small subunit ribosomal RNA", at positions 45 to 645 of the family's 1533-position model. The record is from RNAcentral.